AAGUCUCUCAAAGUGGCACCCAGCUUGGGCGGGGAUGGCUUUCCUUUACUUCCGUUCUUGCUUGAGAAGCAAUUGGUGGUUUUUGUUCCUUUGCCAAGAGGAGGGUUCCUGAGGACACAGACUCACUUUCCCAGGUAGGUGGGGGGGGUGUGUGUCUCCUUCCCUGCUUCUUUGAAGCUGCCUCCUUCAUUGAUCUUAUUCCGGGAGGAGCCUUUGGAAUGCCCUGAAACUGGGGGGUGGGGGGGAAGCAGUUGCUAAGAAAGGAUUCUGCAUGGGGGGGGAGCAUCUCCUUGGGGACCUAUUUCUCACUGCUCUCUUUCUUCCAAGAGGGAGGCUUCGAUGUGAUCUGAGAGGUGACAUAAUAGCCACUUUCAGACAUCGGAAGCGCUUUCCCACGGAAGGUGGAGCAAGCUGGUUUUCUGCUGCUCUGGAGGGCAGGACCCAGAACUGAUGGAUUCACAUGACAAAGGAAGGCGAUUCUGACUAAACAUUAGGAACAACUUCCUGGUGAUGGGAGCCAUUCCACAGUGGAACUGACUCCCUCGGAAGGCGGUGGACUCGCUUGCGUUGGAAGUUUUUCAACAAGGGCGGGAUGGCCAUCCGUUAGGGACGCUAUAGCUAUGACUCCUGUAUUGCAAAGGGCAGGACUAGAUGUCCUUUGGGAGUACCUUCCAAUCCCACAAUUCCAAUUCUACAACUUCUGCUCAGAGAAGCACUUCCCUUGGGACAGCGAAAGUGGAGAGGGCCUUCCUAUCUGGAGUGCUUGGGGGGGAGCUCUUGUUGAACCCCAAAAGCGAGAUGCCGGCGGGGAGGCAGCUGAUUCUUCGCUCCCCACCCACCUCCACCCGCUGCAGCCUCCUGGCCGCGUCCCGUCGGGGCUGGGGUAGUGGCGGCCGGCGGCCGCAGCGUUUCAGCACCAUCGCGGCGCGGACAGCGGCCCCAGGUCCGCCCGCGGCGGCUUCCUUCGCUUCUCCUCUCCGGCGCCAGCAGCUGCUUCGGACGGGGCGGGAGCGGCCGCAGGAGUCGGGGCAGCGCCACCCCCCGCGGGAGGCGCCCCUUCUCCGCUUGCCUCCCCGGGGCCCGGGGCCACCCGCCAGCUUCCAGCCACAGCCGGCAGCAUCCCCUUCGCUUUUACCUGGACUGCGGCUCCUACGCUCGCCGGGAGCUGCUCCUUCCUUUGAGGCGGCGCGACUUCCCCACGAACCCCAGACCCGGACGCGCCGCUGCGGAUUUGCCCCUCGACGGCCGACACUCUGGCUGCUCUUUAGCCAGCGGGGCCAGGCCGACCUCCUUCGCCAGCCGGUCUCUUUCCCCGGCUGCAGGAUGCAAAAAGAGGCCAGCUCGGCCUCGCCAGGGGAGGGGAAGGGGCGCCCUGCCCCCACCGACGCCUCCCGAGCUGGCCCAGAUGGCCCGGGACUUGCCUGGCGGAGCUGAGCCCUGCCAAGCUGCCCAGGACAAUAUUUGAUGAGCAAAUAGUGGGGGCAGGCAGUUCUCCCCCGGCCUGGGCACCCAGCAAUUGACCCUCAUUAGCCCCCCCUCUCCAUGCCGCCGCCUCCCCUCCCUCCCUCCCGGGCUCUCCACCGAGCAGGCUGCCUCGGAGGCGACCAUCUGGUCCCCAUUACACAUUAACCACGGCGCCCUCCCGCUUCGCCAGCCCCGUCGGAAGGGAGGGAGGCACAGGGCUGGCCGGGUUCCCUGUGGGCCCUGCACCCCGCAGGGGGGAGGGGAGGCUCGUGGGGAGCCUGGGGGCGACCACGCUGUAGCCCGGAUCCCCCCUUGCCCCUGUCACCAAAAGGGAGCCGGAGCGGACGCGCCAAGGAGCAGGGCGGCGUGCGUAAUGGCACCGAAGGUGGUCGGCGAGAGCCCUGCGAGCUGGUGUCGUCCUCGACAUCGAAAGGGCCCGGGGACAAGGCCUAGAAAGCUCCCCCCUACCCGCCCCCUCCAACUCGGAGAGCCAAGCCAGCAACUGGGCCGAGUCGGCUCCUGCUCCGCGGUUCUGCAAGGCGGGGGCCUCCGGGGCGCACGGCGGCAAGAGGCGCCUCAUAGCAGGAACAGGCGCUUCUUCCACAGCCCCGACUUGGGAGAGCCUUCUGGAGUGGCGCAGGGGUGGGGGGCUCGGGAAAAAGGUGUAAGCGUGACCCCCUUCUCAGAGCCUGGAUGGAAGGAGCUGCUGGACGCCAUGCGGAGGGGUCUAGCCCUGGCCCGACGGGCGUCCCGGGAAGUGGCGCCCGAAGAGGCGACUCUGUGCCUGGCGCGCUCCGCGCAGAACUUCACCAAGGGCGGCGGAGAGGAGCCAAGGCGAGAGGCUAGGGACACAGGAAGCUGUCUUGCACCGAGUCAGACCAUUGGGGCCAUGUAGCUCCGUACUGUGUGCACUGACUGGCAGCGGGUCUCUCCUAGCUUAAACUGGAGCUACCUUUGGGCAUUGAAACUCGGGGUCCCCUGUCUGCAGAGCUGGUGCUUUGCCGCUGAGAUGCGGCCCAUCCCCAGCCGCGGAAUCUCGACUGGAAGGCGUGGAAAUGGGGGUACGGAGACGGGCCAGGAGAGAGAGACCGGCUGCCCAACCACCCCAGCCAAACCCUCGGGCACCCGCGGCUCCAGCUCGCCUUGGUGGCCGCGCGCGUUCCUUUCUCACCAAACUCAAGCGCAUUUCACUGCUUUCUUUCACAAUGCAAAACGCACAGCUUAUCCCUUAGCUAGAAUACAGAAUUAGAGAGUUUGUCAUACAGGCGACGUUUAAAACUACAAACGUUUUGCGCAAGCCAGCUUUUUACUCUCCAGGCUACCCCGCUCCCUCUUGUGGGUUUGGUCCAAAACUUAAUUCCUAGGCAGACCAGAUUUUAUUUGCGGUGAUGUGGCACCUACAACAGAUCUAUGGAUUCCUCUGCCUCGCACUGUACUGACCUCCCCUCCUGCAAGGCAGAUCAAGACGCGCUUCCCGGGCUCCAAUCCGAACUGGGUCCCAAGUUGCCCAAGCAACUUGUGGACCACGCGGCUGCAACGCCCAGGGCGCAAUCCCAGGCCGGCUGCGGUUCUCUCAGGGGCUCCGGCUGCAUGCAUUUAAGGCACGUGACUUCCCCAGAAGAACCCUGGGAAUUGUAGUUCGUUAAGGGUGCUGGGGAUUAUAGCUGUGUGAGGGUAAACUGCAGUUCCUAGAAUUCUUUGUGUGUGCGGGGGGGGGGGGGGAAUAAUGUGUUUUUAGAUGCGUGGUGUGUACACAGUUUCAGGCAAGCAGCUCGUCAGGAAGCAGCCCCAGGUGAGCAGGGGGUCAGGCAGAAGACAUUGCUCCUGCAGCUCUCAGAGGCAUGGAGGCCCCAAAGCCAAAGGGGGGGCUCCCCAAACCCCACCCUGGGCCAGUUUCAGCCUCUGGGAGAUUUCUGCAGGCAGUCCUCCUCUUCUGCCCUGGAGCACUCUUGCCUGGGAGGAUCUCAGCCAGCCUCUUGCAGAGCCAGCAUGGUGUAGUGGUUAAAAGCAAUGGACUUGUAAUCUGGUGAACUGGGUUCGUGUCUCCGCUGCUCCACAUGCAGCUGCUGGGUGACCUUGGGCCAGUCACACUUCUCUGAAGUCUCUCAGCUCCCCUCACCUCACAGAGGGUUUGUUGUGGGGGAGGAAGGGAAAGGAGAAUGUUAGCCGCUUUGAGACUCCUUCCGGUAGUGAUAAAGCGGGAUAUCAAAUCCAAACUCCUCCUCCUCCUCCUCCUCCUCCUCUUGUGGCAUCGUUGCUCCUGGGGGCUGUUCUGCCUCUGCGUCUGAUGCCCAGCUCACUUUCUGUUGGGGGGGAGAGCACUGCCAGUCCCUCCCAAGGCUGCUCCCUUCUUCUCAGCUGUUGUUCUAGGGCAGGCAUAGGCAACCUCGGCCCUCCAGAUGUUUGGAGACUACAAUUCCCAUCCUCCCUGACAGCUGGUCCUGUUAGCUAGGGAUCAUGGGAGUUGUAGUCCCAAAACAUCUGGAGGACUGAGGUUGCCUAUGCCUGUUCUAGGGGUUGUUCCUGAGUGGCUGGAGGCCACUGAGACAGAUCCUGCACCACCACCUUCUCCUUGGAGGCAGGACACCCGGCCAGCGCCAGUUCUACACAUUUUGCCAUAGGAGGAAAAAGUCUCCACUGCUGCCACCACCGAGAGAACAAAGUCUGCAUGGGGUGGGGAAUAAAGUCUUUCUCCCUUUCAUGUCCCAAACAGGCUUCCUUCCCUUGGUGGCAGCACUGAGACCACCCCAAAGGGAAGAUAGAGGGUCUCCCCUUUGUUCCUCUUCUGCUGCCACCAAGAGAAGGAAGCCUGAGGGUUCCCAUCCCAUCCAGCCCAUAGCAGGGUUCGGGUCUGAGGGUCACAGUUGUUUGAGUGGAGAAGUGGCAAGGUUGGCCACUCGGGAGGGAGCAGGUCUAAUGGACAGCAGCAUCACCGUUGCUUCCAGUGUCCAAAGGGCGCCAGAAGGCGGGAAGCAGCAAUUCAGAAGCAGCAAAGGCUCUGCCCGCUCCUCUUCCUGCAUCUUGGAUCUCUGCAUUGUGUAUUUUAUAUAUUUGAAUCUGCCACCCGCCCUUCCCCACAGGGUCCCAGGGCAAAGCCCACCCAAUGAAAAAUUAUUUUUUUUUAAAAAAAAUGAUAUUUAUUAAAGUUUCAAAAGAAGGAUACAUAAAUAAGAAAAAUAAAAAUAGAAAAAAUAAAAAUACAAAAUACAAAAAACAGAAAACAAUUAAAAACAAUUCCAUCUUUUCAUCACUUCUCUUUCAUUUGCUUGUUUCCCGGACCUCCUCAUACCUCCCUUUUUUGUAUUCCAGUUCAAUUUAUUAGUUCAGCAAUUCCUUUCCCUCCUUUUUAAACCUGAUCUUUAAUCUUAAUAUAUUAUAGCAUUAGGUUUUUACAUAUUGAAAAUCUAAUUUUUCCAUAUUCUUUUAUACCAUUACAGCUAGAAACCACUUAACUUCAAUCCAACAUCAUUCUAACAUUCAUUAAUUUUGCAAUAUUUCUGUAAAUAGUCUUUAAAUUUCUUCCAAUCUUCUUCCACCGACUCUUCUCCCUGGUCUUGGAUUCUGCCAGUCAUUUCCGCCAAUUCCAUGUAGUCCAUCAUUUUCAUCUGCCAUUCCUCCAGUGUGGGUAGGUCUUGUGUCUUCCAAUGCUUUGCAAUAAGUAUUCUUGCUGCUGUUGUACACCCAAUGAAAAAUUAAAGCAUCAUCAAAGCAUCAAUUAAAACAGCAGAGGAAGUCCUAUGGUGCAGUUGUGCUCCUGAUCAGAUGCAGGAGAGAGGAUCUGAUCUGAAAUGACGCACCAGCUCCCAGAGGCACCUGAGAUGGGGGCACAGGCACCUCCAAGGAGAGGGAGCUGCAGAACUGUGUGUGUUUGUGGUGGGGAGACCACAGAGGAAGUCCUCCCAGGUGCCCCUGCUCCUUGGACCAACCACUCCCUGCCCCACUCCCUGAUCUUAAUAUUUGGGCAGGUCUGUGUGGGCUGAGGUGAAUCCAUCAUUCUCUAAUGUUUUAUAUGGUCUUACAGUUUAAGGAAACUCUUCAAAAGCACUUGACUCCUUCCAAAAUAAGAAUAGUCCAUAGGGUUCCCCCCCAGCUUUCCUCAAAAUUUCUGUUGGGUCCCCCCCCCUUUUAAGGCCUUUGCCGUGAAACAUUUCCCCAUUGACCUGCCUUCCCGCAGGGCUUUCAUCUCUCUAAGCAGGACCUGAGCACAACAGCAGCCUCCCCACUUGCGAUACUCAGCAUCUGAGAUUCAGAAGCAUGGCUGACUCCGACUGUGGAGGGUAGAGCAGAGCUAGGAGCCCUCCAUAGCCCUCUCCUCCUCCAUGAAUUGGUCCAAUCCUCUUCUAAAGCCAUCCAAGUGGGUAACCAUUCCUGCUUCCUUGGGGAAGCGAGUUCUACAAUUUAACUCUGCGUUGCCUGAAGAAAGACUUUCAUUUAUAGGUCCUGAAUCACAGAAGAGGCAGUCUACAACAGAAAUCUGAGUGCAUUGUUUAUCUUCUGUCUGGUAGGUUACCUGUUAACGGUCACUUGAUUGAUACCCUGGGGAGCCUGGCCAGUCUUUUGUAAUGACAAAUACUUAGUUCCUGAGUCAGGUCACAGGCUCACCCUAUUCAUACACAGACAUACCCUUAAGACAGGAUUUGUGAAGGAAAAGACAAUGGGGAGCCAGUGUGGUGUAGUGGUUAAAAGCGGUAGUCUCGUAAUCUGGGGAACCGGGUUCGCGUCUCCGCUCCUCCACAUGCAGCUGCUGGGUGACCUUGGGCCAGUCACACUUCUCUGAAGUCUCUCGGCCUCACUCACCUCACAGAGUGUUUGUUGUGGGGGAGGAAGGGAAAGGAGAAUGUUAGCCGCUUUGAGACUCCUGAAAGGGAGUGAAAGGCGGGAUAUCAAAUCCAAACUCCUCCUCCUCUGCGACCUUGCAGAGAAAUAUUUGAGGUGAAUUUGGGAGGGACAAAAUGGUUUCAGGACUUUUUCUGUGGGGUUUCAGACAUGUGGUUUAUAUAUUCAGUUAUGAACAUUUAUUAUAUAUAUAUAUUAUAUAUAUAUAUAUAUAUAUAUAUAUAUAUAUAUAUAUAUAUAUUCAUAUAUACAUAUGUAUAUAUACAUAUAUAUAUAUAUGACAUUAACUUUUAAUUUCACUUCCAAGCUUUCACUUUCUACAAGUGCCUGGGGACCCUCUGUCUGCAGAGAAGGAAACACAAGUGGCUUGGGGUUGCCACCUCUGUGAUGACCUUGGCUCUGAGAAGAAGCUCCUCCACAACUGACCACCACUCUCUGCCUCAGCCAAGGGCUCUGCUGUGCCAUCCCUGCCCUUCCUGAGUCCUGGGAACUCUUCCUCUGAUAACGAGAAUCUCAUGAUCUUGAAUAAGUGAAC
Molecule: long non-coding RNA, 6835 nt
Filed under: Podarcis lilfordi (Lilford's wall lizard)
Lineage: Eukaryota; Metazoa; Chordata; Lepidosauria; Squamata; Lacertidae
Source: RNAcentral